CACGUAGGGGGCAAGCGUUGUCCGGAUUUAUUGGGCGUAAAGAGCUCGUAGGUGGUUCGGUAAGUCGGGUGUGAAGCCUCCAGGCUCAACCUGGAGACGCCACCCGAUACUGCUGUGACUGGAGUCCGGUAGGGGAGCGUGGAAUUCCUGGUGUAGCGGUGAAAUGCGCAGAUAUCAGGAGGAACACCAGCGGCGAAGGCGGCGCUCUGGGCCGGUACUGACACUGAGGAGCGAAAGCGUGGGUAGCAAACAGG
Molecule: ribosomal RNA, 254 nt
Filed under: uncultured bacterium
Lineage: Bacteria
Description: partial 16S ribosomal RNA
Rfam family: Bacterial small subunit ribosomal RNA
Source: RNAcentral